RNAcentral lists this ribosomal RNA (253 nucleotides) under uncultured bacterium. RNAcentral's name for it is "partial 16S ribosomal RNA". It matches the Rfam family "Bacterial small subunit ribosomal RNA", at positions 524 to 776 of the family's 1533-position model. The record is from RNAcentral.
UACGGGGGGGGCAAGCGUUGUUCGGAAUUACUGGGCGUAAAGGGUUCGUAGGUGGCUUGUUAAGUCAGACGUGAAAUCCCUCGGCUCAACCGGGGAACUGCGUCUGAGACUGAUGAGCUCGAGUGCAGGAGAGGAACGCGGAAUUCCAGGUGUAGCGGUGAAAUGCGCAGAUAUCGGGAGGAACACCCGUAGCGAAGGCGGCACUCUGGGCCGGUACUGACGCUGAGGAGCGAAAGCGUGGGGAGCAAACAGG